This 443-nucleotide ribosomal RNA is filed under the name uncultured bacterium. Its description in RNAcentral is "partial 16S ribosomal RNA". It matches the Rfam family "Bacterial small subunit ribosomal RNA", at positions 338 to 795 of the family's 1533-position model. The record is from RNAcentral.
CCUACGGGAGGCAGCAGUGGGGAAUAUUGGGCAAUGGGCGCAAGCCUGACCCAGCAACGCCGCGUGAAGGAAGAAGGCUUUCGGGUUGUAAACUUCUUUUCUCAGGGACGAAGAAAGUGACGGUACCUGAGGAAUAAGCCACGGCUAACUACGUGCCAGCAGCCGCGGUAAUACGUAGGUGGCAAGCGUUAUCCGGAUUUAUUGGGUGUAAAGGGCGUGUAGGCGGGAGCGCAAGUCAGAUGUGAAAACUCAGGGCUCAACCCUGAGCCUGCAUUUGAAACUGUGUUUCUUGAGUGCUGGGGAGGCAAUCGGAAUGCCGUGUGUAGCGGUGAAAUGCGUAGAUAGACGGAGGAACACCAGUGGCGAAGGCGGAUUGCUGGACAGUAACUGACGCUGAGGCGCGAAAGCGUGGGGAGCAAACAGGAUUAGAUACCCCUGUAGUC